CCUACGGGAGGCUGCAGUGAGGAAUAUUGGUCAAUGGGCGCAAGCCUGAACCAGCCAAGUCGCGUGAGGGAUGACGGUCCUAUGGAUUGUAAACCUCUUUUGUCGGGGAGCAAGGCCGGCCACGUGUGGCGGGAAGGAGAGUACCCGAAGAAAAAGCAUCGGCUAACUCCGUGCCAGCAGCCGCGGUAAUACGGAGGAUCCGAGCGUUAUCCGGAUUUAUUGGGUUUAAAGGGAGCGUAGGUGGAUUGUUAAGUCAGUCGUGAAAGUUGGGGGCUCAACCGUCAAAGUGCAGUUGAAACUGGCAGUCUUGAGUACGGGAGAGGUGUGCGGAAUGCGUGGUGUAGCGGUGAAAUGCUUAGAUAUCACGAAGAACUCCGAUUGCGAAGGCAGUUCACUGGACUGCAACUGACACUGAGGCUCGAAAGUGUGGGUAUCGAACAGGAUUAGAUACCCGAGUAGUC
This 461-nucleotide ribosomal RNA is filed under the name uncultured bacterium. Its description in RNAcentral is "partial 16S ribosomal RNA". It matches the Rfam family "Bacterial small subunit ribosomal RNA", at positions 338 to 795 of the family's 1533-position model. The record is from RNAcentral.